Molecule: long non-coding RNA, 813 nt
Organism: Rattus norvegicus (Norway rat)
Lineage: Eukaryota; Metazoa; Chordata; Mammalia; Rodentia; Muridae
Source: RefSeq, a predicted model, not a curated record
CCCAAAUACAAAGGCUGACCCAAUUCCAAGGCAGGUCGAUAAUGAAACAUUGUCUCAUACCCAGAGAAAACAACAUCUGUAUUCAGAUGAGCAGCAUGGAAACAGUGAAUAUUUUUAGGAUCUUAGGAGAAGACUAUUAAAUAUUUAAGAAUGGCCUGCAUUUAGAAGUAGAGUGGUUCUUCUUGGUGAAAUGCAUGCUUAGCUGUUCUCAAAGAUUUUUUUUCCACUGUGAAGAAACCAGGCCAUUUGUCUUGGACAGCUUCCCACAUUUUUAUUUUGCUGACUACAGCUUCAUGGUAUUAGCGAGCCAUUUUGACUCCAGGAUUUCUGGGUUUCUGGUUGCCGGUGUUGACCUCAAGAUUUCUACAUAGCUGAGGAUGACCUUGAACUCCUGAUCCUCUUGACUCUGCUUUCUGAGUGUUGGGGUUACAGGCGUGAGCCACCAGACCCCGGGCUCUCCUGUACAGAUGCAGCUGAACUACUUAUUUAUACACACUCCAGUUCUACCAUUCAUUCAUGUAUGGAGGCUGAAGCUGAAAGAGACAUAACUAGAGGAAUACAGCUCAUGAUAGAAAGGAUGCUUUGACGUCCCCUGAGAGCCUCAGAGACCUGGAGUCAGCUACCCCUCCCUCAGAUGACUCGCUCCUGCUGGGAGCAGCUUGCCUAUGGUAGGAGGAGAAACCUUGUAGGUUCUGCAGCGGACCUAAGGCUCAGCAUACCAUCAAGCAGCUCGGUGAGAAACGGCUUGCACAUUUGUUUAAUAUUUUUAGGCAGAUAGUGGGUUUUCGGAAUAAAUGCGAAGAUAAAAAUCAA